AAGGCUUGACAUGCACAGGACGCCGGCAGAGAUGUCGGUUCCCUUGUGGCCUGUGUGCAGGUGGUGCAUGGCUGUCGUCAGCUCGUGUCGUGAGAUGUUGGGUUAAGUCCCGCAACGAGCGCAACCCUUGUCUCAUGUUGCCAGCACGUAAUGGUGGGGACUCGUGAGAGACUGCCGGGGUCAACUCGGAGGAAGGUGGGGAUGACGUCGCUUACAGCGUAC
Molecule: unclassified non-coding RNA, 222 nt
Filed under: uncultured Mycobacteriaceae bacterium
Lineage: Bacteria; Bacillati; Actinomycetota; Actinomycetes; Mycobacteriales; Mycobacteriaceae
Description: contains 16S-23S intergenic spacer region
Rfam family: Bacterial small subunit ribosomal RNA
Source: RNAcentral